This 494-nucleotide ribosomal RNA is filed under the name uncultured bacterium. Its description in RNAcentral is "partial 16S ribosomal RNA". It matches the Rfam family "Bacterial small subunit ribosomal RNA", at positions 28 to 507 of the family's 1533-position model. The record is from RNAcentral.
GACGAACGCUGGCGGCGUGCUUAACACAUGCAAGUCGAACGGUGAAGCGCCUUCCUUUUUGGUUGGUGUGGACGAAUGGCGAACUGAUGCGUAACACGUGACUAACCUGCCCCCUUCUACUGGAUAACCGCAUGAAAGUUAGGCUAAUACGGGAUAUUCUGGGUCUGUCGCAUGAUGGGUCUGGGCAAGAUAUUGUUUCGGUGGGGGAUGGGCUCGCGGCCGAUCAGCUUGUUGGUGGGGUGAUGGCCUACCAAGGCGGUGACGGGUAGCCGGCCUGAGAGGGUGGACUGGCUGAACUGGGAGGAGGCACGGCCAAGAUGGGUAUGGGAGGCAGCCGUGAGGAAUACGGGAGGAUGGAGUGAAGACUGAUGCAGAAAGGCGGCGAGACUGAUGGAGGCCUGCGGGGUGUGAGCCUCAGGCGCUAGUGAAGCAGGGCUGCCUCGAUUGUGAGGGGGUUGACGGUAGCUGUAUAAGAAGCGCCGGCUAACUACGUG